This 468-nucleotide ribosomal RNA is filed under the name uncultured bacterium. RNAcentral describes it as "partial 16S ribosomal RNA". It matches the Rfam family "Bacterial small subunit ribosomal RNA", at positions 28 to 507 of the family's 1533-position model. The record is from RNAcentral.
GACGAACGCUGGCGGCGUGCUUAACACAUGCAAGUCGAACGGAAAGGCCCUGCUUUUGUGGGGUGCUCGAGUGGCGAACGGGUGAGUAACACGUGAGUAACCUGCCCUUGACUUUGGGAUAACUUCAGGAAACUGGGGCUAAUACCGGAUAGGAGCUCCUGCUGCAUGGUGGGGGUUGGAAAGUUUCGGCGGUUGGGGAUGGACUCGCGGCUUAUCAGCUUGUUGGUGGGGUAGUGGCUUACCAAGGCUUUGACGGGUAGCCGGCCUGAGAGGGUGACCGGGCACAUUGGGACUGAGAUACGGCCCAGACUCCUACGGGAGGCAGCAGUGGGGAAUAUUGCACAAUGGGCGGAAGCCUGAUGCAGCAACGCCGCGUGCGGGAUGACGGCCUUCGGGUUGUAAACCGAUUUCGCCUGUGACGAAGCGUGAGUGACGGUAAUGGGUAAAGAAGCACCGGCUAACUACGUG